Molecule: long non-coding RNA, 3007 nt
Organism: Dreissena polymorpha
Lineage: Eukaryota; Metazoa; Mollusca; Bivalvia; Myida; Dreissenidae
Exons: 5
Source: RefSeq, a predicted model, not a curated record
GACGACGUAACAUUUAUGUCAAUUAAGCAAAACGUCGCCAUAUUUUCACACUGUUUUACUAGCAAAAAAACCCAUAAGAUGCAUCAACAUGACUUGAUAACAUGUGUGUGAUUAUUUAGUAGAAUAUAUUGCUAUCAUAAAGGUAAAUGUUGAAAAACUUCGAGAUACUACUCGCUUUCAAGAGUUACCAGUACCUUUAUUAUACUUGCCACCACCAGUUUUCGUUCAUUCUAAAUUAAAAAAUAUUAUGUAGAAUUUAAUUGGUUAAAAUUAUAGUGAAAUUGCGUCCAAUGUACUUAGUAUGAUUAAUUGAAUGUUGUUAUGAGCGAAAUAACAACAGGAAUAUCAUUGUAUGUGCUUUGAGAAUAAAAUACCACCUACACGAACUGAUGUCAUCAACGUCAACUAGCAGGUAGAGGAUAAUUUUAUUAAAUGAUAUAUGUUUACAAAAAAAACAUGCCUUUGCUGUUGUUAUGAGCGAAUAACAACAUGCAGAGCAUGUUCUAUAUGUUGACAAUAGAAUACCAUGUAUUGACUGCUGUCAUGAACAUUUAACAACAGGCGUGGCAUGGUCUAUAUGGCAAUAAUAAAAUAUCCUGCCUUGACAGUUGUCAUAAACAUAUUACAACAUUAAGAGCAUGUUUUAUAUGAUAACCAUAGAAUACUAUGCAUUGACUGUUGUUAUGAACGCGAAAAAACACAGGCGGAGCAUUUUCCAUAUAUUGAUGAUAGAGUACCAUGCCAUGGCUGUUGUAAUAAACAUGUAACAACAGAAAAAGCAUGUUCUAUAUGUUGACAAUAUAAUAUUCUGCCUUGCAUGUUCUCAUGAAAGUAUAACAACAGGCAGAGCAUGUUUUAUAUGUUGACAAUAGGAAACCGUGCAUUUACCGUGUUGUCAUGAGCAUAUAACAACAGGCAGAGCAUGUUGUAUAAGUUGAUAAUAGCGUUCCAUGCCUAGGACAGUUGUAAUGAACAUUUAGCAACAGGCAAAGCAUGUUCUAUAUGUUAACAAUGGAAUAACAUGUCUUGACUGUUGUAAUGAACAUAUAACAACAGGCGUAGCAUGGUUUAUAUGGCAGCAAUAGAAUGAAUACCCUGCAUUGACUUCUGUCAUGAAUAUAUAACAACAUUAAGAGAAUGUUCUAUAUAUGUAAACAAUAUAAUACUGUGCAUAGCCUGUUGUUAUGAACGCAUAACAACAGGCGGAGCAUGUUUUAUAUGUUGACAAUAGGAAACCGUGCCUUUACCGUUGUCAUGAACAUAUAACAACAGGCAGAGCAUGUUGUAUACUUUGAUAAUAGCGUACUAUGCCUAGACUGUUGUAAUUAACAUAUAUCAACAGGCAGAGCAUGUUCUAUAUGUUAACAAUGGAAUACCAUGUCUUGACUGUUGUAAUGAAUAUAUAACAACAGGCGUAGCAUGGUCUAUAUGGCAGCAAUACAAAACCCUGCAUUGACUGCUGUCGUAAAUAUAUAACAACAGUAAGAGAAUGUUCUUUAUGUAAACAAAAUAAUACUAUGCAUGGCCUGUUGUUAUGAACGCAUAACAACAGGCGGAGCAUGUUCUAUAAGUUGUACAUAUAACAAAAGGCAAAGAAUGUUGACAAAAUAAUAUUCUGCCUUGACUGUUGUUAUGAGCGUUUGACAACACACAGAACAUGUUCUAUAUGUUCACAUUGGAAUAUAAUUCAUUGUCUGUUGUCAUGAACGCAUAGCAACAGGCUGAGCAUGUUCUAUAUGCUGACAAAAUAAUAUCCUGCAUUGACCUGUGCAAUGAACAUAUAACAAAAGGCAGAGCAUGUUGUAUAUGGUGAUAAAAGAAUACCAUGCCUUUGCUGUUGUCAUGAGCAUAAUACAACAGACAGAGCAUUUUCUAUAUUUUGACAACAAAAUAUCAUGCCUUGCCUGUUGUCAUGAACGUUAACUUAAGCAACAGGCGGAGCAUGUUUUAAAUGUUGACAAUAGAAUACCAUGCCUUUGCUGUGGUCAUGAACAUAUAACGUCAGGCGGAGUAUGUUAUGCCUUGGUUGGUUUUAUGUGAUGACAUCAGGAGGUGCAUAUUCUACAUGUUGAACGUAGAAUACCAUGCCUUUGCUGGUGUCAUGUACAUAUAUCAACAGGCGGAGCAUGUUGUAUUUGUUGACAAUAGAAUGCCAUGCAUUGACAGUAUUGGAACAGCAACAAUCAAAGCCUGGGCUGUAUGAUGGCAAUAUAGUGCCAUGCUUGUAUUGUUGUUAUGAACGUAUAACAUUAGGAAGAACAUAAUGCAUAUAUUGGCAAUGGAAUACAAUAUUUGAACUAUUUAAACGAGCGAACAACGACAAGCAGUGCACUGGCCUCGUUUUAUUUGGAUUUUUAUUUUUCUGUUUUAUGAUAACUUCACUAUAUGCUGUCACUCACUAUAGUUUCUAACCGAAUCCGCUUCAAGGAUGACACACGUGUCAAAAAAGGAAGUCCAAUACCAUCUACUGGUGCACCAUUUGUGAUCGUCGGCUUCCGGUUACUUGAAUGCCACCAAGGUCCCGACCAUAGGAAACAGGCCAACUAGAGUACAAAUAAGCUCGUUGAAACCGGCGAUCACAACUAUACGCAAAUGGCCUAUAAAAAGAGAGUCACGGGCUCCAAAAUGCUGAGAUGCACAGCCUCAAUAUUACUGAGGGAGUGCAUUAGAUUCCCAGGUUAUAAGCCUAAGAAAGAUAGUCAUUUAUGCCAGGACAUGUGCUGGCAACAAUUGAGAAACGACCUACAGUCGGCAGUAUUUGACGAGGUCACAAUGGAAAAAUGCAUUUUCAUUGACCUGCCCAAGAUCGAAGAUCAUCAGGGCCAUACAAUGGAAGACGUUAUUGAGCCGAAAAAGAAAGUACUGUACUUUUAUGACUCAUUGGGAGAAACAACCUUCCAACAAAGACACAUGGUACAAAACUGGAAAAACUUUCUCGGACGAACCUUGAAUGAAAACACAAACUGGAGGCUGGAAGUUCCAGUUCAUUAAAAACUGGUUUCAACUG